RNAcentral lists this ribosomal RNA (468 nucleotides) under uncultured bacterium. RNAcentral's name for it is "partial 16S ribosomal RNA". It matches the Rfam family "Bacterial small subunit ribosomal RNA", at positions 28 to 507 of the family's 1533-position model. The record is from RNAcentral.
GACGAACGCUGGCGGCGUGCUUAACACAUGCAAGUCGAACGGAAAGGCCCUGCUUGCGUGGGGUGCUCGAGUGGCGAACGGGUGUGUAACACGUGAGUAACCUGCCCUUGACUUUGGGAUAACUUCAGGAAACUGGGGCUAAUACCGGAUAGGAGCUCCUGCUGCAUGGUGGGGGUUGGAAAGUUUCGGCGGUUGGGGAUGGACUCGCGGCUUAUCAGCUUGUUGGUGGGGUAGUGGCUUACCAAGGCUUUGACGGGUAGCCGGCCUGAGAGGGUGACCGGCCACAUUGGGACUGAGAUACGGCCCAGACUCCUACGGGAGGCAGCAGUGGGGAAUAUUGCACAAUGGGCGGAAGCCUGAUGCAGCGACGCCGCGUGCGGGAUGACGGCCUUCGGGUUGUAAACCGCUUUCGCCUGUGACGAAGCGUGAGUGACGGUAAUGGGUAAAGAAGCACCGGCUAACUACGUG